This 254-nucleotide ribosomal RNA is filed under the name uncultured bacterium. Its description in RNAcentral is "partial 16S ribosomal RNA". It matches the Rfam family "Bacterial small subunit ribosomal RNA", at positions 524 to 776 of the family's 1533-position model. The record is from RNAcentral.
CACGUAGGGUGCGAGCGUUGUCCGGAAUUAUUGGGCGUAAAGAGCUCGUAGGCGGUGUGUCGCGUCGGCCGUGAAAACCUGCAGCUUAACUGUGGGCUUGCGGUCGAUACGGGCAUCACUGGAGUUCGGCAGGGGAGACUGGAAUUCCUGGUGUAGCGGUGAAAUGCGCAGAUAUCAGGAGGAAUACCGGUGGCGAAGGCGGCCCUCUGGACGGAUACUGACGCUGAGGCGCGAAAGCGUGGGGAUCAAACAGG